CCUACGGGAGGCAGCAGUGAGGAAUAUUGGUCAAUGGCCGGAAGGCUGAACCAGCCAAGUCGCGUGAGGGAAUAAGGCCCUAUGGGUCGUAAACCUCUUUUGUCAGGGAGCAAAGGCGUCCACGAGUGGACGAAAGGAGAGUACCUGAAGAAAAAGCAUCGGCUAACUACGUGCCAGCAGCCGCGGUAAUAAGUAGGGGGCAAGCGUUAUCCGGAUUGACUGGGUGUAAAGGGAGCGUAGACGGCAGGGCAAGUCUGGAGUGAAAGGCAGGGGCCCAACCCCUGGACUGCUCUGGAAACUGUCCGGCUGGAGUGCAGGAGAGGUAAGUGGAAUUCCGAGUGUAGCGGUGAAAGGCGUAGAUAUUAGGAGGAACACCAGUGGCGAAGGCGGCUUACUGGACUGUAACUGACGUUGAGGCUCGAAAGCGUGGGGAGCAAACAGGAUUAGAUACCCCAGUAGUC
This 461-nucleotide ribosomal RNA is filed under the name uncultured bacterium. RNAcentral describes it as "partial 16S ribosomal RNA". It matches the Rfam family "Bacterial small subunit ribosomal RNA", at positions 338 to 795 of the family's 1533-position model. The record is from RNAcentral.